RNAcentral lists this ribosomal RNA (524 nucleotides) under uncultured bacterium. RNAcentral's name for it is "bacterial SSU rRNA". It matches the Rfam family "Bacterial small subunit ribosomal RNA", at positions 984 to 1509 of the family's 1533-position model. The record is from RNAcentral.
ACAUCCAGAGAACUUUCCAGAGAUGGAUUGGUGCCUUCGGGAACUCUGGGACAGGUGCUGCAUGGCUGUCGUCAGCUCGUGUUGUGAAAUGUUGGGUUAAGUCCCGCAACGAGCGCAACCCUUAUCCUUUGUUGCCAGCGGUUAGGCCGGGAACUCAAAGGAGACUGCCAGUGAUAAACUGGAGGAAGGUGGGAUGACGUCAAGUCAUCAUGGCCCUUACGAGUAGGGCUACACACGUGCUACAAUGGCGCAUACAAAGAGAAGCGACCUCGCGAGAGCAAGCGGACCUCAUAAAGUGCGUCGUAGUCCGGAUUGGAGUCUGCAACUCGACUCCAUGAAGUCGGAAUCGCUAGUAAUCGUGGAUCAGAAUGCCACGGUGAAUACGUUCCCGGGCCUUGUACACACCGCCCGUCACACCAUGGGAGUGGGUUGCAAAAGAAGUAGGUAGCUUAACCUUCGGGAGGGCGCUUACCACUUUGUGAUUCAUGACUGGGGUGAAGUCGUAACAAGGUAAGCGUAGAUGA